GACGAACGCUGGCGGCGUGCUUAACACAUGCAAGUCGAACGAAGUGGCGAACGGGUGAGUAACGCGUAAUCAACCUGCCCUUCAGAGGGGGACAACAGUUGGAAACGACUGCUAAUACCGCAUACUGAAGGAGGGGAUUGCGUCUGAUUAGCUAGUUGGCGGGGUAACGGCCCACCAAGGCGAAGAUCAGUAGCCGGUCUAGGGGGGUGAAGGGCCAAAUAGGGACUGAGACACGGCCCAGAAUCCUACGGGAGGGAGCAGUAGGGAAUCUUCCGGAAUGGACGAAAGGCUGACGGGGCAACGCCGCGUGAGUGAUGACGGCCUUCGGGUUGUAAAGCUCUGUUAAUCGGGACGCGGUACCGGAAUAGAAAGCCACGGCUAACUACGUGCCAGCAGCCGCGGUAAUAC
Molecule: ribosomal RNA, 408 nt
Filed under: uncultured bacterium
Lineage: Bacteria
Description: partial 16S ribosomal RNA
Rfam family: Bacterial small subunit ribosomal RNA
Source: RNAcentral